CAACAUUCCCCCCAAAAACCUCUUUCACAGAUCCGAAUUCGAAAUUCAAAUCAAUAGAACUAAGAAAAUCUUUCUUUAGAUCUUAGAUCACCACGAAAAAAAUCCAAAAACAGAAAAAAUACAACAACAAUAAAAACAAUAGGCAUUGUUCAGUUGGUUUUCUAGAUUGGUUUUGCUCGAUUUUUCUUUUCUUCUGAUAGUUGAAGCUUUUGAAAUAUAUGGGUUUAGUUUAAGCAGCUCUAGGGUCUAAUUACUCUGGUUUGGAUCAAGUUUUGGUUUUGUUGAAUGUUUCUGGAUAUAUUUUCAUGUAUAACUUGGCCCAGUUGUAUGUGAAUUGUUGCUUGUUGUGGCGUGUGAUCUAUUGUCAAUAGUUCUGGAUCUAUUUUUGUGUUUUGGAACCAAAGCUGGUCUGUUUCCUCGGUUUUGAACUGUUGUUAUUCACUGCUCGACUGCUUACUUCUUCUCCAUUCUGAACUUGAUGCGUGUAAACAUCCAUUUGAAAUGAAAUGAAAUGGAGGCCUAAUUUUAGUUGAAG
RNAcentral lists this long non-coding RNA (535 nucleotides) under Nicotiana benthamiana. RNAcentral describes it as "long non-coding RNA (NBEN_LNC005263)". Lineage: Eukaryota; Viridiplantae; Streptophyta; Magnoliopsida; Solanales; Solanaceae. The record is from RNAcentral.